GGCAGUGCUUGGGUGACACACCCUGGAAUCGGGCUCCCUCUUCUCUGGUUCCAGGUAUGUCACCCAAGAACUACA
This is a non-coding RNA of Myotis lucifugus (little brown bat), 75 nucleotides long. The record is from Rfam. NCBI's taxonomy places the organism in Eukaryota, Metazoa, Chordata, Mammalia, Chiroptera, Vespertilionidae.